UUUUGAUGUGAACCAGGCGGAGAGAGCUCCACAUAAAAUGAGCUUGAUAAGAAGUCAGUGACACGACUCCAUUUCUUCAACAUUUUGAACCGAGACUCCAUCCUCCAUUUUAUUUAUUUGUUUAUUUGUAAAGUUUAGAUAAAGUUAUACGAAACGGGCAAUUAAUAAUUAAGUAAAGAGAGAGAGCAGUUAGGUGGCGGUGUCAUCGGUUGGUUGAUUUCUGUCGCGUGCAGCAAUGAGGACUACCGCAAUGGCGCAGUGUUCAUUGUUUCCUAUAUUUACGCGCGUAAAUGCCAACAAAGCCCAUCUUUCUUCUUCCUUUUUGCCAUUUUGCCACUCAUCUUUCUCUCUGAACCAUCGUCGUCCUUCUCUUUCUAUGGCCUCUGCAACAACUCAGUCGUCAUCAAUGCAGGCUUUUUCAUCUGGGGAUGUUAGUAGUGAUGCCAAUUUGUUCCAGUUGAUUCAAACUCACCAAGAAAAGGCUGCUAGACUUUCACCUGUUGAGGAGAUUAGAACUGUGCUUUAUCACAGUUCGCGUGGUGUACUUUCGACUUUUUCUCAGAAGCAUGACGGUUAUCCAUCUGGGUCGAUGGUUGAUUUUGCAUGUGAUGUUGAUGGAACUCCAAUACUAGCAGUGAGCAGCUUGGCAAAUCAUUCAAAGGACCUUUUAGCUAAUUCAAAAUGCUCAUUACUUGUUGCUAGAGAUCACGAGGAUAGGACUGAUUUGGUAAUUACACUGCACGGUGAUGCCGUCUCUGUUUCUGAGGGAGAUCGUAGUGCCGUUCGAACUGCAUAUCUGGCAAAGCAUCCAAAUGCAUUCUGGGUUGACUUUGGUGACUUUCAAUUUAUACGCAUUGAACCAAAAGUUGUGCGAUAUGUGUCAGGAGUUGCAACUGCUUUACUUGGGUCAGGAGAGUUUAGCAAAGAAGAGUACCAAGCUGCUAAAGUCGAUCCAAUAGCUCAGUUUUCUAAGCCUGUGGCGUCUCAUAUGAAUAGAGAUCAUGGGGAGGAUACAAGGCUCAUUGUGCAACAUUCAACAUCAACUGCGGUGGACUCUGCCUACAUUCUAGAUAUUGAUAGUCUGGGUUUUAAUGUGAAGGCUGUUUGCCAAGGGAAUACUUGCAAGCUUCGGAUUCCUUUUCCUAGACGUGCAGAAGACAGAAAGUGAGGCACCUUAACUAUGAAUUUCUAGUCCCUUCUGGAAACCAAAUGGUUCUUUUGUAUAUGCAGAAGACAGAAAGUGAGGCACCUUAACUAUGAAUUUCUAGUCCCUUGUCGAAAUCAGAUGGUUCUUUGGUGGCCUAUUUCCUUUGGGAACCCAAUCAUAAUGUCCUGCUAUGAUUGAAACCCUUGGGCAAAGAAACUUAUGGAUGGCCUUCUGCAAUGGCCCACAGGGAUGUGAAGACCCUAAUAGUGGAAAUGCUUCAAGCUGCUAAGUCUCAAGUUAAUUGAUUGCCAAGCUGAAAUGAUAUAAGGAGGAUUCUGCAGCAUGCACAUCAGAAUUGCAGCCUAGUUGAGAGUUGAUAUGGACGGAUGUGGAAUUCUGGAAGGCAAAACAGCACAUAGAUUGACUUGUUGAUAACUAAACAAUAACCUUACUCUUGGCAGCUUGCUCCUGAUGCAUAAUAAUGUAAUGUACAAUUUACUUGUUAUCCAAUGUUAUAGUCUAAAGUAUAAGAUUUGUAAAAGAAAACUGAAGAAAUGUCGAUGCAUGUUUUCUUCU
This is an RNA transcript of Ricinus communis (castor bean), 1723 nucleotides long. RefSeq lists it as uncharacterized. Lineage: Eukaryota; Viridiplantae; Streptophyta; Magnoliopsida; Malpighiales; Euphorbiaceae. The record is from RefSeq and is a predicted model, not a curated record. The transcript is spliced from 15 exons.